CUCGUAGGCGGUUUGUCGCGUCGGAUGUGAAAACUCGGAGCUUAACUCCGGGCCUGCAUUCGAUACGGGCAGACUAGAGUUCGGUAGGGGAGACUGGAACUCCUGGUGUAGCGGUGGAAUGCGCAGAUAUCAGGAAGAACACCGAUGGCGAAGGCAGGUCUCUGGGCCGAUACUGACGCUGAGGAGCGAAAGCGUGGGGGAGCGAACA
This 208-nucleotide ribosomal RNA is filed under the name uncultured bacterium. RNAcentral's name for it is "partial 16S ribosomal RNA". It matches the Rfam family "Bacterial small subunit ribosomal RNA", at positions 568 to 774 of the family's 1533-position model. The record is from RNAcentral.